This 3459-nucleotide long non-coding RNA is filed under the name Oncorhynchus mykiss (rainbow trout). RNAcentral describes it as "lncRNA (ENSOMYG00000051530.1)". The record is from RNAcentral. Lineage: Eukaryota; Metazoa; Chordata; Actinopteri; Salmoniformes; Salmonidae.
AUGUUUGAAGUUGUUUUUGUUUGUUUACCUCUUCUUCUUCCUCUGCCAGUGUUGAACCACCUCCCUACCACGGUGGUGGCUGUUGUGUUCGGCUGUUUCCUCUUCCUGGUUACCUUGGUGACCACCUGUUGUUUCAGUGGUCUGCUGUUCCGUGAGUGUACACUUUACUUAUUCUCGUCUCUCUCGUCUCUCUCGCUCCUCUCUCUCUUUUCAGUUUGUCUUUCUGUCUCUCUCGUCUCUCUCGCUCCUCUCUCUCUUUUCAGUUUGUCUCUCUCGUCUCUCUCGCUCCUCUCUCUCUUUUCAGUUUGUCUCUCUGUCUCUCUCGUCUCUCUCGCUCCUCUCUCUCUUUUCAGUUUGUCUCUCUCGUCUCUCUCGCUCCUCUCUCUCUUUUCAGUUUGUCUCUCUGUCUCUCUCGUCUCUCUCGCUCCUCUCUCUUUUCAGUUUGUCUCUCUGUCUCUCUCGUCUCUCUCGCUCCUCUCUCUCUUUUCAGUUUGUCUUUCUGUCUCUCUCGUCUCUCUCGCUCCUCUCUCUCUUUUCAGUUUGUCUCUCUGUCUCUCUCGUCUCUCUCGCUCCUCUCUCUCUUUUCAGUUUGUCUCUCUGUCUCUCUCGUCUCUCUCGCUCCUCUCUCUCUUUUCAGUUUGCCUCUCUGUCUCUCUCGUCUCUCUCGCUCCUCUCUCUCUUUUCAGUUUGUCUUUCUGUCUCUCGUCUCUCUCGCUCCUCUCUCUCUUUUCAGUUUGUCUCUCUGUCUCUCUCGUCUCUCUCGCUCCUCUCUCUCUUUUCAGUUUGUCUCUCUGUCUCUCUCGUCUCUCUCGCUCCUCUCUCUCUUUUCAGUUUGUCUCUCUGUCUCUCUCGUCUCUCUCGCUCCUCUCUCUCUUUUCAGUUUGUCUCUCUCGUCUCUCUCGCUCCUCUCUCUCUUUUCAGUUUGUCUCUCUGUCUCUCUCGUCUCUCUCGCUCCUCUCUCUCUUUUCAGUUUGUCUCUCUGUCUCUCUCGUCUCUCUCGCUCCUCUCUCUCUUUUCAGUUUGUCUUUCUGUCUCUCUCGUCUCUCUCGCUCCUCUCUCUCUUUUCAGUUUGUCUCUCUGUCUCUCUCGUCUCUCUCGCUCCUCUCUCUCUUUUCAGUUUGUCUCUCUGUCUCUCUCGUCUCUCUCGCUCCUCUCUCUCUUUUCAGUUUGUCUCUCUGUCUCUCUCGUCUCUCUCGCUCCUCUCUCUCUUUUCAGGUUGUCUCUCUGUCUCUCUCGUCUCUCUCGCUCCUCUCUCUCUUUUCAGUUUGUCUCUCUGUCUCUCUCGUCUCUCUCGCUCCUCUCUCUCUUUUCAGUUUGUCUCUCUGUCUCUCUCGUCUCUCUCGCUCCUCUCUCUCUUUUCAGUUUGUCUCUCUGUCUCUCUCGUCUCUCUCGCUCCUCUCUCUCUUUUCAGUUUGUCUUUCUGUCUCUCUCGUCUCUCUCGCUCCUCUCUCUCUUUUCAGUUUGUCUUUCUGUCUCUCUCGUCUCUCUCGCUCCUCUCUCUCUUUUCAGUUUGUCUCUCUCGUCUCUCUCGCUCCUCUCUCUCUUUUCAGUUUGUCUUUCUGUCUCUCUCGUCUCUCUCGCUCCUCUCUCUCUUUUCAGUUUGUCUCUCUGUCUCUCUCGUCUCUCUCGCUCCUCUCUCUCUUUUCAGUUUGUCUCUCUGUCUCUCUCGUCUCUCUCGCUCCUCUCUCUCUUUUCAGUUUGUCUCUCUGUCUCUCUCGUCUCUCUCGCUCCUCUCUCUCUUUUCAGUUUGUCUCUCUGUCUCUCUCGUCUCUCUCGCUCCUCUCUCUCUUUUCAGUUUGUCUCUCUGUCUCUCUCGCUCCUCUCUCUCUCCUCUCUCUCUUUUCAGUUUGUCUCUCUGUCUCACACUCCUCUCUCUCUUUUCAGUUUGUCUAUCUGUCUCUCUCUUUUCAGUUUGUGUCUCUGUCUCUCUCUUUUCAGUUUGUCUCUCUGUCUCUCUCUCUUUUCAAUUUGUCUCUCUGUCUCUCUCUCUUUUCAGUUUGUGUCUCUGUCUCUCUCUUUUCAGUUUGUCUCUCUGUCUCUCUCUCUUUUCAAUUUGUCUCUCUGUCUCUCUCUCUUUUCAGUUUGUCUCUCUGUCUCUCACACUCCUCUCUCUCUUUCAGUUUGUCUCUCUGUCUCUCUCUCUUUUCAGUUUGUCUCUCACACUCCUCUCUCUCUCUUUUCAGUUUGACUCGCUGUCUCUCUCUCUUUUCAGUUUGUCUCUCACACUCCUCUCUCUCUUUCAGUUUGUCUCUCUGUCUCUCUCGUCUCUCUCGCUCCUCUCUCUCUUUUCAGUUUGUCUCUCUGUAUCUCUCGUCUCUCUCGCUCCUCUCUCUCUUUUCAGUUUGUCUCUCUGUCUCUCUUGUCUCUCUCGCUCCUCUCUCUCUUUUCAGUUUGUCUUUCUGUCUCUCUCGUCUCUCUCGCUCCUCUCUCUCUUUUCAGUUUGUCUCUCUGUCUCUCUCGUCUCUCUCGCUCCUCUCUCUCUUUUCAGUUUGUCUCUCUCGUCUCUCUCGCUCCUCUCUCUCUUUUCAGUUUGUCUCUCUGUCUCUCUCGUCUCUCUCGCUCCUCUCUCUCUUUUCAGUUUGUCUCUCUGUCUCUCUCGUCUCUCUCGCUCCUCUCUCUCUUUUCAGUUUGUCUUUCUGUCUCUCUCGUCUCUCUCGCUCCUCUCUCUCUUUUCAGUUUGUCUUUCUGUCUCUCUCGUCUCUCUCGCUCCUCUCUCUCUUUUCAGUUUGUCUUUCUGUCUCUCUCGUCUCUCUCGCUCCUCUCUCUCUUUUCAGUUUGUCUUUCUGUCUCUCUCGUCUCUCUCGCUCCUCUCUCUCUUUUCAGUUUGUCUUUCUGUCUCUCUCGUCUCUCUCGCUCCUCUCUCUCUUUUCAGUUUGUCUUUCUGUCUCUCUCGUCUCUCUCGCUCCUCUCUCUCUUUUCAGUUUGUCUCUCUGUCUCUCUCGUCUCUCUCGCUCCUCUCUCUCUUUUCAGUUUGUCUCUCUGUCUCUCUCGUCUCUCUCGCUCCUCUCUCUCUUUUCAGUUUGUCUCUCUGUCUCUCUCGUCUCUCUCGCUCCUCUCUCUCUUUUCAGUUUGUCUCUCUUUCUCUCUCGCUCCUCUCUCUCUCCUCUCUCUCUUUUCAGUUUGUCUCUCUGUCUCACACUCCUCUCUCUCUUUUCAGUUUGUCUAUCUGUCUCUCUCUUUUCAGUUUGUGUCUCUGUCUCUCUCUUUUCAGUUUGUCUCUCUGUCUCUCUCUCUUUUCAAUUUGUCUCUCUGUCUCUCUCUCUUUUCAGUUUGUGUCUCUGUCUCUCUCUUUUCAGUUUGUCUCUCUGUCUCUCUCUUUUCAAUUUGUCUCUCUGUCUCUCUCUCUUUUCAGUUUGUCUCUCUGUCUCUCACACUCCUCUCUCUCUUUCAGUUUGUCUCUCUGUCUCUCUCUCUUUUCAGUUUGUCUCUCACACUCCUCUCUCUCUCUUUUCAGUUUGA